CGCAGGCGCCACCCCUGGUCCUCAGACGUCCUCUGCCACUUGAAGCCUCUCAGGAGGAUAGUACUUCUGCAGCCGGAUUUGCUGAGCGCCCUCGAGCAGGGGCAACUUCGCCUCUGCGACAGUGCAGGACGCCUGGACGCCCACUCAGCUCUCCGAGAGGGCCACCCCGGGUGUGGGAGCCCCUCCAGCUCCUGCUCUGCGACUCCCUCUGGCUCCCCCCGGGAGCUCUGCUGGGUCGUCUUCCCCACUCUCUGGCUCCUAUGGCUCUUUGGUUUCCCUCCUCGGGUGACCAGGACCACCUCGUGGGACCAGACAGGACAAAUCUAAACGCCAAAUGAUGAAGAUAUCCAAGAAGUCAGCUCUUCAAUAUCAGGCCCGGCACGAAGUCAUAAGAACAGGAGUGAGAGAAAAAGACCAAAGGGAUGCAGAGAUCCUUGAAAUUUCCAUUUCAAGGAAGAAUGAAGAGUCAAGCCACUUGGGCAGUGCCUACUGUGUGUUACAGCAACCCACUGAACACUGGCAAGGGGUCCUGGCCAGACCGGAAGUGAAUGGCGCCUUGGCUCUCACUGCUGCUUGGUGCCGUUAACCAGGUGACAGUGAGCAACCCUUCUUGGAUCCUCAGUUUUCUUUACACAGUGCAAUGAUUAAACUUCUAGCGCCACACUGAGCCAUUGAAGUAUGACACAUAAGGGAAAAAAAUUACAGAAAAUCUCCUUUUAAACUUUUGAUGUUAGGGCUGAGCACGUAGCCUGCUUGGCAAACACAAGGUCCUGAGUUCAAUCCCCAGUACCGGAAAGAAAAAAAAAGUUAAAAUUUUGAUACUGUAUUUGUUGUGCAUACUUUGCAUAAAUU
Molecule: long non-coding RNA, 852 nt
Organism: Fukomys damarensis (Damara mole-rat)
Lineage: Eukaryota; Metazoa; Chordata; Mammalia; Rodentia; Bathyergidae
Exons: 3
Source: RefSeq, a predicted model, not a curated record